AACGAACGCUGGCGGCAGGCCUCAAACAUGCAAGUCUAGGGGGUGUAGCAAUACAUCACCGGCGGACGGGUGCGUAACGCGUGGGAAUAUACCUAUCGAUUCGGAACAACUGAGGGAAACUUCAGCUAAUACCGAAUACGUCCUAACGGAGAAAGAUUUAUCGUCGAUAGAUUAGCCCGCGUUCGAUUAGCUAGUUGGUGGGGUAACGGCCCACCAAGGCGACGAUCGAUAGCUGUUCUGAGAGGAAGAUCAGCCACACUGGGACUGAGACACGGCCCAGACUCCUACGGGAGGCAGCAGUUGGGAAUCUUGGACAAUGGGGGAAACCCUGAUCCAGCCAUGCCGCGUGAGUGAUGAGGGCCUUCGGGUUGUAAAACGUCUUUCGCGCACGACGAUAAUGACGGUAGUGCGAGAAGAAGCUCGGCUAACUUCGUGCCAGCAGCCGCGGUAAU
Molecule: ribosomal RNA, 452 nt
Filed under: uncultured bacterium
Lineage: Bacteria
Description: bacterial SSU rRNA
Rfam family: Bacterial small subunit ribosomal RNA
Source: RNAcentral